CCUACGGGUGGCAGCAGUGAGGAAUAUUGGUCAAUGGACGCAAGUCUGAACCAGCCAUGCCGCGUGCAGGAAGACGGCUCUAUGAGUUGUCAACUGCUUUUGUAUGAGGGUAAACGCAUAUACGCGUAUCUGUCUGAAAGUAUCGUACGAAUAAGGAUCGGCUAACUCCGUGCCAGCAGCCGCGGUAAUACGGAGGAUUCAAGCGUUAUCCGGAUUUAUUGGGUUUAAAGGGUGCGUAGGCGGUCGGAUAAGUUAGAGGUGAAAUCCCGAGGCUCAACUUCGGAAUUGCCUCUGAUACUGGUCGGCUUGAGAGUAGUUGCGGUAGGCGGAAUGUAUGGUGUAGUGGUGAAAUGCUUAGAGAUCAUACAGAACACCGAUUGCGAAGGCAGCUUACCAAGCUACUUCUGACAUUGAGGCACGAAAGCGUGGGGAGCAAACAGGAUUAGAUACCCGGGUAGUC
This 460-nucleotide ribosomal RNA is filed under the name uncultured bacterium. RNAcentral describes it as "partial 16S ribosomal RNA". It matches the Rfam family "Bacterial small subunit ribosomal RNA", at positions 338 to 795 of the family's 1533-position model. The record is from RNAcentral.